AUCCCGGCCGGGCCAGAUGCGGAGAGUGUUAGUACGGCAGAUUCAUAAGAAGCUCAGGAAAAAAAGUACUCGAAAAAAAAUUAUAAAUCACAGAAAUAAGCGGGAGUGUAGGACAUCAAAGAUAAUUCCAGUAAUGAGCUAGCAUGAGCAUGAUGGGCUGAGUGGCUUCAUUUUAACGUGAAUGAUGAUAUAUCUGCAAUUAGCAACUAUUUAGUGAGGUCCAGAUGACUAGCUGGCCAAGUUAUGAUAGAGGCAAAAGAAAUUAUUAAACCUCAGAAUGUUGGCUUUCAUAGCUCAAACAGUGCAAGGAAGUUCUCUCCAUCUGUACAAAAUCACAGAGCGCGGUAGGCAUAAUGUACCUCGCUCUAGGGCAUAUUUGAGCUACAACUAGAAGGAAGAUCGCUGAUAACCUUGCGUUAGGGAUAUGAUCGCUGCCUAUGGAACAGCUGGGUGGACACUAACUUGGACCAACUUGAGGGCCUCUGAAAGAAUAUCACACCUCUCUAUGAUGGAUAUGGUCUCCAAAAUGGGGUUCGGAGAGGGAAUCCAUAAAUUGCUCUGUAUCAUCAUCAGACCAAAUCAAUGGGUGGGACAUGGAACAGGCUGCCUCUUCUGUCUUCACUGUAUGUUAUAUUAAUUGUUUUUGCUGAAAUUUGUUUGGAAGGACAAGUACCUAAGGGGAAUGUCAAUGCUAGUUAGCGGAUGACUGAAGGUUGUCUUGUCUAUUGCUGAUGUUGCUACGAGUGACAAUCAGAAGGUUGGGGUUCAUGCUUGUUGAUUUAGAGGUGUUCUUCCAAGCUGUCAUGCAAUCCAUGUUUGGUUACUGCUGUGAUGCCUACUGCUGCUAUACCUAUGCCACUCAGCUAGCCGUUCCUGCAUGGGAGGAGUUCACAUUCUGUACAAGCUGGGUUAUCAAUAAAGUUCAGGCGAAUAUCCUGUAUGCUGGCAUCCUAGUAUACUCUGCACUCUCCCUCAAUACCAAAUGCCUUAUGGUGUCAGAAGUGGUUGAUCAUCAAUGAAUUGGUGCCAGAGACCAGACGUACGGGUUCGUAGUCACAUGGAUGUAAUUGGAUGGCAGGGGCUCAUCGGAUCACAAGGGCCUGUAUCUCUAAAGAUAAAGGAAACAGAAUAGGUCUUUCUGGCCCUUCAAGCUUCAUCAGCCAGCAACCCUGAUUUAACCCUAAUUUAAUCACGAGAAAUUUACAACAAUCACUGAACCUACCCAGUACAUCUUUGGACUAUGGGAGAAAAUCACUGAUCAUAGGUUAAUUGAUCACUGGGAAGAAAUCAGAGAAAACCCACGCACUCCACAGGGAUGAGGUGCAGAGACUCCUUACAAAAGACGCAGGGACUGAAUUCCGUAUUCCAGUGCCCUGAGUUGUAAUAACAUCAUGCUAACUGGCUCCCCACCAUGAUGCCGGAAAGAAUAGCUGCUCUUUCGAGCUAGGUGAUACAAAGAAACACAAUCGAAUUAAUAUAAAAAAUAUACACAGACAAAGAUGGUCAAACAACCAAGGUGGAAAAGAAGACAAACUGUGCAAUUACAAA
This is a long non-coding RNA of Hypanus sabinus (Atlantic stingray), 1548 nucleotides long. RefSeq lists it as uncharacterized. NCBI's taxonomy places the organism in Eukaryota, Metazoa, Chordata, Chondrichthyes, Myliobatiformes, Dasyatidae. The record is from RefSeq and is a predicted model, not a curated record. The transcript has 3 exons.